Sapajus apella (tufted capuchin) is the source of this 1181-nucleotide long non-coding RNA. RefSeq lists it as uncharacterized. The record is from RefSeq and is a predicted model, not a curated record. The transcript is spliced from 3 exons. NCBI's taxonomy places the organism in Eukaryota, Metazoa, Chordata, Mammalia, Primates, Cebidae.
GCAGAUGCACAAGCUCAGGCAGAUGCCCAGGCCCAAGCAGAACAAAACAGGGAAAGUUAUUCCACACAAGGUGGUAGGUCCACUGCAGGCCAUGACGACCCUAUAUCUUGGUAAGGAAGUGUCCCAGACUCAAGGCCUACUUUUACAGAUAAGCAAGAGGUCUAAAGACUUGCCUAUAGGAGACUGCCUUCCUCCAGGGCACAAUGUAGCACCUAUCUCAUACAUGUGCAGUGAGGAUUACAUGGAAGAAAACCAAAAGCCUAUACAGUGCUCAAUAUCAUGUCUAACACAGCGAGACAGCACUCAAUACGGUCACCCCAAAUAAACAGACAUUUGCAUAUCACCCUGAUCAUUUCCCAAGUUCCAUUUGCCUUUAUCCUCCCAAUUAAGUUAUGUUCUGAUUAUCAAUUGUAAACAGCAGGAACACUGAUGCUAGCAGUGGCUCUUGAGGUUAAAACUCUCAGGGGUAAUAUUUUUUUCUAACUGUGUUGUUAUUUGAAGGAGGGCUCCGUGGAGAGAUUAGAAAACAUGUCCUCCUGGAAUAAUUGUUAGAAGUGAGAGUAAUAUGAUUGUAAAUUUUUACUCUUGGAAUGACAAGUGUCUGCAACAUGCAGUAAUUUGGAUUUCAGAUCUUUACCUGUACUUUCUAAGAAUUACUCAUAUAUACAGUAUAUGUGUAUUUGGCUAGAAUGGUCUCUACAGAAGCCCAUAUAUCCUUGUUAACACAACUUUUUAAAAUGUCUCCCAAGAAUAUGGUGGCUCCUCAAAUGAAGUUGUUAAAGAAGUGAUUUCUCAUUCUAAGAUUUUGGCAAUAUAUUUAGGUUUUGUUACUUAUUACUGAGACUCACUCAUACUUGUGCUCUUAAUAAUAGUUCUGACUCCAAAGUUAAGCUAUUCCUAGAACUGUAAAUACAAUUUAAAAUGAUCAGAAAAGCAUAGGUUACUUAUUAUGAGUAUUUUUUGUUGUUGUUGUUUCUAACUGGUAGGAUAGUCACAGUUUAACACAUAUUCACAGAAUAAGCAUUAAGCAUUUAAUAUAUACCAGAAAUUUGGAUUGGAGCUCUGCUGAAAUUUUCUGACUUUCUUUCUAUGAAUACCCAUUAAUGUAUAUUUGCAAUAAAUGCAUCUGAUUUGCAUAUCAAUAGAAACUAAAAUAAUAUCAGAACUAGACUUAAUGUAAA